GCCAUGACUCUGCCAUCUCUCCUGGAUCAUGACUCUGGUAACUUAAAGCAUGAAUGUCUCAAGUCACUUGCAAAGUAUAUGCUGAUGUGCCGUGAAUUCUCAUCUGAACAGGCAACGUUCACAAUGAGCCUCAGGUCCGUACCAUUAUCACAGCCUACCUCCAUGCAUCCAUGCCUCACGGUC
Rhincodon typus (whale shark) is the source of this 183-nucleotide long non-coding RNA. RefSeq lists it as uncharacterized. NCBI's taxonomy places the organism in Eukaryota, Metazoa, Chordata, Chondrichthyes, Orectolobiformes, Rhincodontidae. The transcript has 3 exons. The record is from RefSeq and is a predicted model, not a curated record.